UGCAGAUUUAAAGGUAAAAAUCUGAAGUAGCUUAGGCCUUUUCCUAGAGUUACAUGACUUAUGUUGUCAUCAUAUUCUCCACUUUUUUCCCUCUCCCCAGGGAAUUCAUUCAGGCAUUGGACUCAGCUUUUCAGAUAGCUACUUUGACAUGCACAAACUAAUGAAAAUCAUCCCACUGCUGAAUUUGGAAAGAAACACCAAUCACAGAUGGUGAAGGGACAGGCACCUGGCAGCUGCAUCGAUGCCAAGCAAUGCUACUGGGCACCUCUGGUGACAGAAGAAGAAACUUUUUUAUUUGGCAUAUAUUUAUUUAUAUAUUAAAGAUCUAUUUAUAUA
Molecule: long non-coding RNA, 336 nt
Organism: Corvus hawaiiensis (hawaiian crow)
Lineage: Eukaryota; Metazoa; Chordata; Aves; Passeriformes; Corvidae
Exons: 2
Source: RefSeq, a predicted model, not a curated record